GACGAACGCUGGCGGCGUGCUUAACACAUGCAAGUCGAACGGAAAGGCCUCAGCUUGCUGGGGUCCUCGAGUGGCGAACGGGUGAGUAACACGUGGGUGAUCUGCCUUGCACUCUGGGAUAAGCUUGGGAAACUGGGUCUAAUACCGGAUAUGAACUGCCUAUAGUGUGGUGGUUGGAAAGGUUUUUCGGUGCAUGAUGAGCUCGCGGCCUAUCGGCUUGUUGGUGGGGUAAUGGCCUACCAAGGCGUCGACGGGUAGCCGGCAUGAGAGAGUGAGCGGCCGCAUUGAGACUGAGAGGCGGCCCAGACACCGACGGGAGGCAGCAGUGGGGAAGAUUGAACGAUCGGCGGAGGCCGGAUGCAGAAGCGCCGCGUGGCGGAUAACGGCCUUCGGGUUGUAGACUCCUUUCGAAAGGAACGAAGCUUUUUGUGACGGUACCUGAAUAGAAAGCACCGGCUAACUACGUG
This 467-nucleotide ribosomal RNA is filed under the name uncultured bacterium. RNAcentral's name for it is "partial 16S ribosomal RNA". It matches the Rfam family "Bacterial small subunit ribosomal RNA", at positions 28 to 507 of the family's 1533-position model. The record is from RNAcentral.